GAUGAACGCUGGCGGUAUGCUUUACACAUGCAAGUCGUACGAGAGUUUUGAACUCAAGUGGCGGACGGGUGAGUAACACGUAAGAAUUUGCCUUUAGGAGGGGGACAACAACUGGAAACGGUUGCUAAUACCCCAUAUGCUUUCGAGUGAAACGGUUUUUCCGCCUAAAGAGAAGCUUGCGGCUGAUUAGCUUGUUGGUAAGGUAAUGGCUUACCAAGGCGACGAUCAGUAUCUGGUUUGAGAGGACGAUCAGACACACUGGAACUGAGACACGGUCCAGACUCCUACGGGAGGCAGCAGUGGGGAAUUUCCGCAAUGGGGC
RNAcentral lists this ribosomal RNA (322 nucleotides) under uncultured bacterium. Its description in RNAcentral is "bacterial SSU rRNA". It matches the Rfam family "Bacterial small subunit ribosomal RNA", at positions 28 to 377 of the family's 1533-position model. The record is from RNAcentral.